Molecule: long non-coding RNA, 614 nt
Filed under: Apteryx rowi (Okarito brown kiwi)
Lineage: Eukaryota; Metazoa; Chordata; Aves; Apterygiformes; Apterygidae
Description: lncRNA (ENSARWG00000017455.1)
Source: RNAcentral
UCAGUUAGCAGCAGUGCAGAAAGGCUAAUCGCUGCUUAACAUCUUCUCUGGUUGUUUCCUAGCCCCACGGACGUGGCACUGGAAUACUGGUGAUAAGGAAACUUGUGGACAUUUCUACCCAUCUUGGCAAAAUGAAUAUUCUUGGAAGGGCAUGCAGAAGUGUUAGACGUGGACAUUCAUAUCCACUCACCCUCUGAUUUGUCACAGGCAGGAUCACUGCAAAGGAUGUAUAUGCCUGUCCUCUGAAAGCGAAAGACAUGUAUGAAAGGAGAAUUCACCUCUGCUUGAAUUCAGGGUAUUGAAGGUCUGUUAGGAAAACCCUUCCUGCAGGUGCGGAUGCCUUCCAGCGCUCCGUUAGAGACCAACUAGAGUAAGAGGAGAAUGAACAUGUGGUGACUGAAGAACUGCUGCAGUUCUCGUUGGUGAAGUUGAURCACAUCUGCUUGAAGCUGUUGAACUGCAGAGAAGAGCAGGCUGGUUGUGUAAGGCAUUUGCUGACCUGCCUUUGAGAUGUGUCCCUCAGCUCUAAACAGAAAAACUCAGCUGCUGGUGGCAGGAAAUAAACUGCAGGGAAAUCCCACCUGGCUGAGGAUCCCUCAGGCUGCUCUACAGCC